RNAcentral lists this ribosomal RNA (465 nucleotides) under uncultured bacterium. RNAcentral describes it as "bacterial SSU rRNA". It matches the Rfam family "Bacterial small subunit ribosomal RNA", at positions 917 to 1382 of the family's 1533-position model. The record is from RNAcentral.
GGGCCCGCACAAGCGGAGGAACAUGUGGUUUAAUUCGAUGAUACGCGAGGAACCUUACCUGGGCUAGAACGCUUCUGGAGUGUACGGGAAACCGUACAGCCCUUCGGGGCCGGGAGCGAGGUGCUGCAUGGUUGUCGUCAGCUCGUGCCGUGAGGUGUCGGGUUAAGUCCCAUAACGAGCGCAACCCCUACUGCUAGUUGCCAGCGCGUAAAGGCGGGAACUCUAGCGGGACUGCCGGCGUAAGCCGAGAGGAGGGUGGGGAUGACGUCAAAUCAGCACGGCCCUUACGUCCAGGGCUACACACGUGUUACAAUGGCCGGUACAGAGGGCAGCUACCUGGCAACAGGAUGCGAAUCUCGAAAGCCGGUUCCAGUUCGGAUUGGGGUCUGCAACCCGACCCCAUGAAGUUGGAUUCGCUAGUAAUCGCGCAUCAGCCACGGCGCGGUGAAUACGUUCCCGGGCCUU